UGGGGAAUAUUGCGCAAUGGGCGAAAGCCUGACGCAGCGACGCCGCGUGAGGGAUGAAGGCUUUCGGAUCGUAAACCUCUGUCAGAAGGGAAGAAACCGCACUGUGCUAAUCAGCAGUGCCUUGACGGUACCUUCAAAGGAAGCACCGGCUAACUCCGUGCCAGCAGCCGCGGUAAUACGGAGGGUGCAAGCGUUAAUCGGAAUUACUGGGCGUAAAGCGCACGUAGGCUGCUUUGUAAGUCAGGGGUGAAAUCCCACGGCUCAACCGUGGAACUGCCUUUGAUACUGCUUAGCUUGAAUCCGGGAGAGGGUGGCGGAAUUCCAGGUGUAGGAGUGAAAUCCGUAGAUAUCUGGAGGAACAUCAGUGGCGAAGGCGGCCACCUGGACCGGUAUUGACGCUGAGGUGCGAAAGCGUGGGGAGCAAACAGG
This 429-nucleotide ribosomal RNA is filed under the name Fusobacteriota bacterium. RNAcentral describes it as "Fusobacteria bacterium partial 16S ribosomal RNA". It matches the Rfam family "Bacterial small subunit ribosomal RNA", at positions 355 to 776 of the family's 1533-position model. Lineage: Bacteria; Fusobacteriati; Fusobacteriota. The record is from RNAcentral.